This 69-nucleotide transfer RNA is filed under the name Geotomus sp. FS-2019. Its description in RNAcentral is "tRNA-Gln". Lineage: Eukaryota; Metazoa; Arthropoda; Insecta; Hemiptera; Cydnidae. The record is from RNAcentral.
UGUAUAUUGGUGUAUGAUGCACUUAAAGUUUUGAUCUUUAUAGUUAUGGUUUAAAUCCAUAAUAUACAA